UUGUAUUGGACCAAUCCUGUGUUGGGGGAUGGACUAUGUCUAUGGUCCCUCCUUAGCAUGGGAUUGGUCCAUAUCAAGACCAAUCCUAUGAAAGGAAAAUGGGCAUCAUCUCUUGCCCAGCAGAGGAUUGGUCAAAUUCAAGACCAAUUCUUCACGGGAAAUAAGAAGGAGGGAACCCUGGAGCAUGCUGGGAGAUAUAGUCCCGUAGGCCACAACCACUGAACACCCACCGGAUCUCUCUAUGUAGACGGAGACAUGGACAGCUAGACAGACAGAAGAAGUGACACACAGAUUAUUUGAUAUGUUAUUCUGUCUAUUCUCCUACUGGUUGGUGUCCACUCUAGAAAAUCAGGAUAAGUGGUUGCAGGCAAGCAAAGCAGGUGAUGGUGUCCCAGUUGGGUUCAGAUGGCUCAGAAGAUGUAUUUGGUUCAAGAUUGGAGGGGGAGUGGCAGACCUCCACUUUGGCCAGUGAGGCUCCAUCAUUUCUUUCCUAACGUCUUCUGAUUCGACUUUGAGACAACCCAGCACUCUGGAAUCUUUGCUGCGACUUCUCCAAUGGACAGAUGUUCCGUUCCAUCCUCCUAACGAGGUAAAGUGCUCCUAUUUUCAACUUUCCUCCUUCAACUCAGAAUGGAGACUAAGUCUGUCCUUUCUAGGUUCUCUACUUAAUGGGCCUUGGCUCCAGGUAAAUAGAAUUCUCAGGAGAAAUAAAUGGCCAAUUUUCCCAUUCUAUAGAAUUAUUUCUCAAGUCAAUGAAAAGGAUAGGAAACAAUCCUUCUCCAGAUUCAGUACGUUGGGGACUCCUCUGAAUAUCUCUUAAAGAUGUCACCUUCAGUAAUACUUCAGAUUCUGGGCUGCAGUAAAUUCUGGUCUAGGCUUUUGGCUCCUAUGAAACCUCUUCAGGCAAAUCUUCCCUGUCAUAGGUUUUUAUCUCUUCACCCCCAUACCAGAACUGGGGGAGGGAGGGGUAAAAUCCCAGGGCAUUCAUAGAAAUGUCUUAGGAAUUUCCCAGGUCUCUUUCUCAAGCUGUCCUGUGCCAAAGAUCAUUAGAAAUAAUGCACACAAAACCAUCAGUUUUCUCCACUUCGAAAGGAAAAUUAGUUCUCCUUAUUCCCUGGUCUUUUCAAACAAAAACUUAUCUGUUGAAAUGGUUGCACUCUGGAAAUUGACCUUCAAAAUGCCCCAAAUCAGGUUAUUGUAGAUGAUGCUUUUCCUUUUUCAAAAACUCAAACUGGUUACAUUUUCUCUCCAAAAACAAAACUUAGGGUUACUAAGGAAGAGGUUCAAAAUUUCCUCUAACUAGGAACACCUCUACUAUUCCCUUCCCUUUUUUCAUUUUUUACUCUAAUUUCCUUAGGGCUGCCAAUUUGUCUUUCUCUUCUCCUUGCCUCAAAGCACUUUGGCCUAUGGCUAAAGCUGCUCUUAGAGAGGAAAUUUGUGGUUCAUAUAAAAAAUGUUCAGGGUUUCCUCAUGAUUAAAAGCAAAGCAUUCCCCACCGUAUUUCAUGUCCUUUGACAACAAUUUAAAGACCAGUCAGGUCUGUAGUUGCCCAUCCUCAAAUGAACAUUCUUUACUCCAGAAAUCACACACACACACACACACACACACACACACACACACACACACACACACACACACACACACACAGUAAACUGAAAAAAAAAUCCACUCCUGCUCUUUACAAAUACCAGCUUGACAAAAAUGUGAAAUGACUGCACUCAAAUAACCAAGUUAAUACCUCAAAGGAAAUGCAUCUUAUUGGCAAUAAUCAAAAUUUACUAUACUUGAUAUACACAAUUUCACACAUUUUUCCUAGCAAA
This 1820-nucleotide long non-coding RNA is filed under the name Monodelphis domestica (gray short-tailed opossum). Its description in RNAcentral is "lncRNA (ENSMODG00000047343.1)". Lineage: Eukaryota; Metazoa; Chordata; Mammalia; Didelphimorphia; Didelphidae. The record is from RNAcentral.